GAGGGAAAGGCGAAAAGAACCCCGGCGAGGGGAGUGAAAAAGAACCUGAAACCGUGUACGUACAAGCAGUAGGAGCCCCAUCACUCAAGUGCCUCGCACUGAGUGAUGCAAGAACAUCACCGAAAAUAGCGCCGAAUUUGCUAACAAGGUUGGUCGAUUUUUUCAAGCCGUCGCGCAGUGUACCUAGAAGUACACGAGCAACGGAAGUUAAAAAAUCGGGCAAGAUUGAACGCAAAGGCAAGCGGGACAUUUGAGGAUGGGGUGACUGCGUACCUUUUGUAUAAUGGGUCAGCGACUUAUAUUCUGUAGCAAGGUUAACCGCAUAGGGGAGCC
Molecule: ribosomal RNA, 333 nt
Filed under: Proteus mirabilis
Lineage: Bacteria; Pseudomonadati; Pseudomonadota; Gammaproteobacteria; Enterobacterales; Morganellaceae
Description: partial 23S ribosomal RNA
Rfam family: Bacterial large subunit ribosomal RNA
Source: RNAcentral